CGUUGCUUCGGCGGGAACAGACGGCCCUGUAACAACGGGCCGCCCCCGCCAGAGGACCCCCUAACUCUGUUUCUAUAAUGUUUUUUCUGAGUAAAACAAGCAAAUAAAUUAAAACUUUCAACAACGGAUCUCUUGGCUCUGGCAUCGAUGAAGAACGCAGCGAAAUGCGAUAAGUAAUGUGAAUUGCAGAAUUCAGUGAAUCAUCGAAUCUUUGAACGCACAUUGCGCCCGCCAGUAUUCUGGCGGGCAUGCCUGUUCGAGCGUCAUUACAACCCUCAGGCCCCCGGGCCUGGCGUUGGGGAUCGGCGGAGAAGCCCCCUGUGGGCAGACACGCCGCCCCCUAAAUACAGUGGCGGUCCCGCCGCAGCUUCCAUUGCGUAGUAGCUAACACCUCGCAACUGGAGAGCGGCGCGGCCACGCCGUAAAACACCCAACUUCUGAAUGUUGACCUCGAAUCAGGUAGGAAUACCCGCUGAACUUAAGCAUAUCAAUA
This 493-nucleotide ribosomal RNA is filed under the name Fusarium sp. 5422. RNAcentral's name for it is "eukaryotic LSU rRNA". The stretch from base 113 to 266 matches the Rfam family "5.8S ribosomal RNA". Lineage: Eukaryota; Fungi; Ascomycota; Sordariomycetes; Hypocreales; Nectriaceae. The record is from RNAcentral.